RNAcentral lists this ribosomal RNA (253 nucleotides) under uncultured bacterium. RNAcentral describes it as "partial 16S ribosomal RNA". It matches the Rfam family "Bacterial small subunit ribosomal RNA", at positions 524 to 776 of the family's 1533-position model. The record is from RNAcentral.
AACGUAGGACGCAAGCGUUAUCCGGAGUUACUGGGCGUAAAGCGCGAGCAGGCGGCUCGACAAGUUCGAUGUGAAAGCGCCCGGCUCAACCGGGCGAGGCCAUUGGAAACUAUCGAGCUGGAGGGCAGUAGAGGCAGGCGGAAUUCCGGGUGGAGUGGUGAAAUGCGUAGAGAUCCGGAGGAACACCAGAGGCGAAGGCGGCCUGCUGGGCUGCACCUGACGCUGAGCCGCGAAAGCCAGGGGAGCAAACGGG